UAUCACAUUUUACAUUGAGAAAUCAUUGGCUGUAAAGAUGCCUCCUCGGUAUAUCGGCUAUUGUGACCUUAGGCCAGUAAAACUAAGAGUGGUUAAAAUUUUUAAAAGCUUGCUGACAAUUAGGAAGAACAUUAAACACUUUUAGUAGUUUUCUGAGCAACAAGAAAUAUUUAUGGCCCAUUACUGAAAUUCUAAUGGCUACAACCAGGAAAUAUUUCUAAAAGAGGGUUAAUGGCACUAGAGAAAAUGGAAAAAAAUGAAGAUAAGAAGAAAAGAAAAAAGAUAAACUUCUGCACAAAAGAUAGAAAAGGACAGACUGACAUCUUGGAGUACUUCACAUCAGAAAAGAUAAAGAAAAAAUAUUCAGUGCUACACUCAUCAGUUCAUUACAAACAAAACAUACAAAUGGAAAAAAGUUUACUUCAAUAUAUUGUGGUAGGCAGGAAAAAUUCACAUAUAACCAGAGUAAGAUACAUAGAAAGAAAUAAAUAAAGAAAAAGGGAAGAAGAAAAAGGGUAAAUGAAAAAGGGAGAAAGAAAAAGAUAAGAGAAACAUGAGCUUAUAAACAAGAAGAAAAUAUACCCA
Octopus bimaculoides (California two-spot octopus) is the source of this 585-nucleotide long non-coding RNA. Lineage: Eukaryota; Metazoa; Mollusca; Cephalopoda; Octopoda; Octopodidae. The record is from RefSeq and is a predicted model, not a curated record.